This 1363-nucleotide ribosomal RNA is filed under the name Lactiplantibacillus plantarum. Its description in RNAcentral is "bacterial SSU rRNA". It matches the Rfam family "Bacterial small subunit ribosomal RNA", at positions 95 to 1445 of the family's 1533-position model. Lineage: Bacteria; Bacillati; Bacillota; Bacilli; Lactobacillales; Lactobacillaceae. The record is from RNAcentral.
GUGGCGAACUGGUGAGUAACACGUGGGAAACCUGCCCAGAAGCGGGGGAUAACACCUGGAAACAGAUGCUAAUACCGCAUAACAACUUGGACCGCAUGGUCCGAGUUUGAAAGAUGGCUUCGGCUAUCACUUUUGGAUGGUCCCGCGGCGUAUUAGCUAGAUGGUGGGGUAACGGCUCACCAUGGCAAUGAUACGUAGCCGACCUGAGAGGGUAAUCGGCCACAUUGGGACUGAGACACGGCCCAAACUCCUACGGGAGGCAGCAGUAGGGAAUCUUCCACAAUGGACGAAAGUCUGAUGGAGCAACGCCGCGUGAGUGAAGAAGGGUUUCGGCUCGUAAAACUCUGUUGUUAAAGAAGAACAUAUCUGAGAGUAACUGUUCAGGUAUUGACGGUAUUUAACCAGAAAGCCACGGCUAACUACGUGCCAGCAGCCGCGGUAAUACGUAGGUGGCAAGCGUUGUCCGGAUUUAUUGGGCGUAAAGCGAGCGCAGGCGGUUUUUUAAGUCUGAUGUGAAAGCCUUCGGCUCAACCGAAGAAGUGCAUCGGAAACUGGGAAACUUGAGUGCAGAAGAGGACAGUGGAACUCCAUGUGUAGCGGUGAAAUGCGUAGAUAUAUGGAAGAACACCAGUGGCGAAGGCGGCUGUCUGGUCUGUAACUGACGCUGAGGCUCGAAAGUAUGGGUAGCAAACAGGAUUAGAUACCCUGGUAGUCCAUACCGUAAACGAUGAAUGCUAAGUGUUGGAGGGUUUCCGCCCUUCAGUGCUGCAGCUAACGCAUUAAGCAUUCCGCCUGGGGAGUACGGCCGCAAGGCUGAAACUCAAAGGAAUUGACGGGGGCCCGCACAAGCGGUGGAGCAUGUGGUUUAAUUCGAAGCUACGCGAAGAACCUUACCAGGUCUUGACAUACUAUGCAAAUCUAAGAGAUUAGACGUUCCCUUCGGGGACAUGGAUACAGGUGGUGCAUGGUUGUCGUCAGCUCGUGUCGUGAGAUGUUGGGUUAAGUCCCGCAACGAGCGCAACCCUUAUUAUCAGUUGCCAGCAUUAAGUUGGGCACUCUGGUGAGACUGCCGGUGACAAACCGGAGGAAGGUGGGGAUGACGUCAAAUCAUCAUGCCCCUUAUGACCUGGGCUACACACGUGCUACAAUGGAUGGUACAACGAGUUGCGAACUCGCGAGAGUAAGCUAAUCUCUUAAAGCCAUUCUCAGUUCGGAUUGUAGGCUGCAACUCGCCUACAUGAAGUCGGAAUCGCUAGUAAUCGCGGAUCAGCAUGCCGCGGUGAAUACGUUCCCGGGCCUUGUACACACCGCCCGUCACACCAUGAGAGUUUGUAACACCCAAAGUCGGUGGGGUAACCUUUAG